Molecule: ribosomal RNA, 519 nt
Filed under: uncultured bacterium
Lineage: Bacteria
Description: bacterial SSU rRNA
Rfam family: Bacterial small subunit ribosomal RNA
Source: RNAcentral
AGAAUUUGAUCUUGGUCAGAACGAACGCUGGCGGCGCGUUUAAGCAUGCAAGUCGAGCGGCAAGGGCCUUCGGGCCCCUAGAGCGGCGGACGGGUGAGUAACACGUGGACAAUCUGCCCCCCGGCCCGGGAUAGCCCAGGGAAACCUGGAUUAAUACCGGAUGAGACGGGACCCGCGAUGGCGGGACCCGGGAAAGGCGCUGCGGCGCCGCCGGGGGAUGAGUCUGCGUCCCAUUAGCUAGACGGCGGGGUAACGGCCCACCGUGGCGACGAUGGGUAGCCGGCCUGAGAGGGUGGAUGGCCACAUUGGAACUGAGACACGGUCCAGACUCCUAUGGGAGGCAGCAGCUAAGAAUCUUCCGCAAUGGGCGAAAGCCUGACGGAGCGACGCCCGCGUGAACGAAGAAGGCCGUGAGGUUGUAAAGUUCUUUUCGGGAGGGGGAACAACCGUGGCAGGGAAUGGCCGCGGGAUGACGUGAAUCCCGGAAUAAGCCCCGGCUAACUACGUGCCAGCAGCGGC